This 468-nucleotide ribosomal RNA is filed under the name uncultured bacterium. RNAcentral describes it as "partial 16S ribosomal RNA". It matches the Rfam family "Bacterial small subunit ribosomal RNA", at positions 28 to 507 of the family's 1533-position model. The record is from RNAcentral.
GACGAACGCUGGCGGCGUGCUUAACACAUGCAAGUCGAACGGAAAGGCCCUGCUUUUGUGGGGUGCUCGAGUGGCGAACGGGUGAGUAACACGUGAGUAACCUGCCCUUGACUUUGGGAUAACUUCAGGAAACUGGGGCUAAUACCGGAUAGGAGCUCCUGCUGCAUGGUGGGGGUUGGAAAGUUUCGGCGGUUGGGGAUGGACGCGGGGCUGAUCGGUUUGUUGGUGGGGUAGUGGUUUACCAAGGCUUUGACGGGUCGGCGGCCUGAGAGGGGGACCGGCGCCAUGGGGACUGAGAGACGGCCCAGACGGCUACGGGAGGCAACAGGGGGGAAUAUUGCACAAUGGGCGGAAGCCUGAUGCAGCAACGCCGCGUGCGGGAUGACGGCCUUCGGGUUGUAAACCGCUUUCGCCUGUGACGAAGCGUGAGUGACGGUAAUGGGUAAAGAAGCACCGGCUAACUACGUG